UGGGCCUUGAGACCCUUGGCCAGCAUCCAAGCUGCGUCCACGUCCAUAUCUGCAAUGAAAGAAGUUUGGCACAGCUUAGGAAAAGAACAAGAAGAAAGGGGAGAAGCGGAAGUCAAAGCCCAGUGCGGAAAGCUUCUUGGUAUAAACAGAAGCAGCCGGGGGGAGGGACGCUAGCCCGACCAGUUGGCCCGAGAAGCUCAGCUCGUACUCCGAAGGAACUCCGUACUGAAUCCUAAUCAGUGAGAGUUCGUCUGGAGUCAGAGAGCUGGAAAUGAUGUCUGGUAC
This 285-nucleotide long non-coding RNA is filed under the name Elaeis guineensis (African oil palm). RNAcentral describes it as "long non-coding RNA (EGUI_LNC042484)". The record is from RNAcentral. Lineage: Eukaryota; Viridiplantae; Streptophyta; Magnoliopsida; Arecales; Arecaceae.